RNAcentral lists this long non-coding RNA (235 nucleotides) under Gallus gallus (chicken). The record is from RNAcentral. Lineage: Eukaryota; Metazoa; Chordata; Aves; Galliformes; Phasianidae.
GGAGAGUUGGGGGUCAUACUGCUCAUGUUUCCAGGAAAUGGUCUGCUCUGCAUCCCAGCUGAUGGCAUCCGUCCGAGGGGCAUGGUACCGCAGGGCUGGCUUGGCCCCUGUCCAUGCAUCUGGCUGUUGGCAUUUAUACCCAUGCCGGGUCCAGGGCCACUGUAGCUCGUGUUGGGCACGCCACUGUAUGUUGGUGGUCUGGAGUAGUUUCCUUGUGGUCCAUACUGGCUCAUCU